CUCAUUCACUGGUUCAUUCAGCAUAUGUUGAUAGCACUCUUGUGUUGCAGGCAAUGGUGCUAGGCACAGGGGUGCUGUGGAUACAUCAGUGAAUGAGAUCGACUGGCUUUCUGCCCACAUGGGGCUUAAAUUCUAAUGAAGAGAGAGGCAAGAAAGAUCAUGAGUGAGCAAACGCAUAGGAUCACUGUGACUGCUGGGUGAAGGCUUGACUACAGAAGGGCAAGCGUGGCAGCUGGGAGCCUAAUUAGGAGGCUCCUGCAGACCCCCAAGUGGGAGGUGAUGAUAGCCAAAGUGGUGGCAGUCAUCUGAUUCCAGAAUUUGACCAAUCACUAGGGCAGGGGAGCCUAGCAUGGUGUCUCAUGAAGGAACUCUCCCCUGCCUGCGUCCUCAGCCCUCACCUUGGUACUGGAAGAUGUCGUGCGUAUUCAAAGGCACCCCGGGGAACAUCUGGUCCACCAACGUGACGCUCCUGCUAUCCACCGUCUGCGUCUUUACGUCGAACCUGCAGGCAGGAGGCGAGGAGACAGGUGCUGAGCCUGCGGGCGGGUGGAUGGCGCCCGGGCUCCCCCUGCCGGCAGCCGCGGUGGCUCUCACCUCCAGAAGUGCUGCCCGCUGAACAGUAGCACCUUACCCCCGCCGCGCGGGAGGGCCCCCGUGACGUGGGUCACCUGCGAGCCCAGGCCCAGCUUGUCCAGACGCCUCGGGCCCAGCACCGACGCGCCUGUGUACACCCACACUUGGCGCCCUGUGCAGGGGAGAAGGGCCACGUCGGUCUGGGGGAGCGGAGGUGGCACACAUUCUCCUUGAAUGUGAGGAGGAAGAUCCCAGCAAGGCCCUUCCUGGACCAGCGUGCCGCAGUCUCUGUGCCCAAGGGGCAGAGCCGCUGGGGAUGGUUACGCAAGGGCAUGGCGAGGAGGGGAACUGGAAUUCGGCCCCCAAUAAAUGUGCGAAAUUGCCUCCGCCACGGAGCGCCUUUUCCUAAUACGCACACGAUGGUU
Lemur catta (Ring-tailed lemur) is the source of this 998-nucleotide long non-coding RNA. RefSeq lists it as uncharacterized. The transcript has 3 exons. The record is from RefSeq and is a predicted model, not a curated record. Lineage: Eukaryota; Metazoa; Chordata; Mammalia; Primates; Lemuridae.